RNAcentral lists this long non-coding RNA (316 nucleotides) under Zostera marina. RNAcentral's name for it is "long non-coding RNA (ZMAR_LNC005129)". Lineage: Eukaryota; Viridiplantae; Streptophyta; Magnoliopsida; Alismatales; Zosteraceae. The record is from RNAcentral.
UCUUCAAAAUUGUAUAAAUUAAAUAUAAAUUUCUUUAUUUAAUUCUUCCUGAUAAGAUAUCAAAACAUCUACUGUGGAAGUUUGCAACGAAAUAACUAGUCGCAUCGUUAGUAAAGCAAAUGAAAAAUAUUUUUUCCUUCUUUCUUUUUCAGUUGGAAAUGUCAAUGGAGAAGUCGAAGGCAUUUGAUGACGUUAUUGCUAGGGCAAAUUGAAGAAGAUUAAUGGUGGGAUUAAUCUUGAUACUAAUGGCAUCUGAAGCUGAGUAUCAUCGCAUCCAAUGAUUUCUACCGGUUCUUCUUGAAUAUGCUUGAAUAGG